RNAcentral lists this long non-coding RNA (372 nucleotides) under Ananas comosus (pineapple). Its description in RNAcentral is "long non-coding RNA (ACOM_LNC014950)". Lineage: Eukaryota; Viridiplantae; Streptophyta; Magnoliopsida; Poales; Bromeliaceae. The record is from RNAcentral.
CAAAAACCACAAAAAUCACAAAUCUCGAUGCAAUAAAAAUAAAUGCAGAAAAUAAAAAGCACACCGAGAUUUACGUGGAAAAACUCCAAUUUGGAGAAAAACCCACGGAACCAACAUGCGAAAAAAUAAUCCACUAAGAGAAAAAAUUACAAGGUGAUUACCGACUCCACGGACUCAACCUCUCUUAACCUCUUAUGGAUCUCGCGCAAUCCUCCGGGUUGUCCACGCCCUCAAUUUCGAAUCCACGAACGUCUCGUACACGUCCGAAUCCACGAACGCCACUCUAAUCCACGAGCCCACGAUCCAAAUCCACGAACUGCCGUCAAACACGCCGAAUCCACGACGCCAUCAUGAAGAACAUCAUGAAUAUGG